This 497-nucleotide ribosomal RNA is filed under the name uncultured bacterium. RNAcentral's name for it is "partial 16S ribosomal RNA". It matches the Rfam family "Bacterial small subunit ribosomal RNA", at positions 28 to 507 of the family's 1533-position model. The record is from RNAcentral.
GAUGAACGCUGGCGGCGUGCCUAAUACAUGCAAGUCGAGCGAACAGACGAGGAGCUUGCUCCUCUGACGUUAGCGGCGGACGGGUGAGUAACACGUGGAUAACCUACCUAUAAGACUGGGAUAACUUCGGGAAACCGGAGCUAAUACCGGAUAAUAUAUUUAACCGCAUGGUUCAAUAGUGAAAGACGGUUUUGCUGUCACUUAUAGAUGGAUCCGCGCCGCAUUAGCUAGUUGGUAAGGUAACGGCUUACCAAGGCGACGAUGCGUAGCCGACCUGAGAGGGUGAUCGGCCAAACUGGAACUGAGACACGGUCCAGACUCCUACGGGAGGCAGCAGUAGGGAAUCUUCCGCAAUGGGCGAAAGCCUGACGGAGCAACGCCGCGUGAGUGAUGAAGGUCUUCGGAUCGUAAAACUCUGUUAUUAGGGAAGAACAAAUGUGUAAGUAACUAUACACGUCUUGACGGUACCUAAUCAGAAAGCCACGGCUAACUACGUG